AGUGAACGCUGGCGGUAGGCCUAACACAUGCAAGCCGAACGGCAGCACAGUAAGAGCUUGCUCUUACGGGUGGCGAGUGGCGGACGGGUGAGGAAUACAUCGGAAUCUACUUUUUCGUGGGGGAUAACGUAGGGAAACUUACGCUAAUACCGCAUACGACCUACGGGUGAAAGCAGGGGAUCUUCGGACCUUGCGCGAUUGAAUGAGCCGAUGUCGGAUUAGCUAGUUGGCGGGGUAAAGGCCCACCAAGGCGACGAUCCGUAGCUGGUCUGAGAGGAUGAUCAGCCACACUGGAACUGAGACACGGUCCAGACUCCUACGGGAGGCAGCAGUGGGGAAUAUUGGACAAUGGGCGCAAGCCUGAUCCAGCCAUACCGCGUGGGUGAAGAAGGCCUUCGGGUUGUAAAGCCCUUUUGUUGGGAAAGAAAAGCAGCAGGUUAAUACCCCGCUGUUAUGACGGUACCCAAAGAAUAAGCACCGGCUAACUUCGUG
Molecule: ribosomal RNA, 492 nt
Filed under: uncultured bacterium
Lineage: Bacteria
Description: partial 16S ribosomal RNA
Rfam family: Bacterial small subunit ribosomal RNA
Source: RNAcentral